UACGUAGGAUGCAAGCGUUGUCCGGAAUUAUUGGGCGUAAAGCGAACGUAGGCGGCUUCUUAAGUUUGGUCUUAAAGACCGGGGCUCAACCCCGGGAAUGGACUGAAUACUGGGAGGCUGGAGGAUGUCAGAGGAAAGUGGAAUUCCCAGUGUAGCGGUGAAAUGCGUAGAUAUUGGGAAGAACACCGGUGGCGUAAGCGGCUUGCUGGGCUUUAACUGACACUGAGGAACGAAAGCUAGGGGAGCGAAUGGG
RNAcentral lists this ribosomal RNA (253 nucleotides) under uncultured bacterium. RNAcentral describes it as "partial 16S ribosomal RNA". It matches the Rfam family "Bacterial small subunit ribosomal RNA", at positions 524 to 776 of the family's 1533-position model. The record is from RNAcentral.